Molecule: long non-coding RNA, 915 nt
Filed under: Taeniopygia guttata (zebra finch)
Lineage: Eukaryota; Metazoa; Chordata; Aves; Passeriformes; Estrildidae
Description: lncRNA (ENSTGUG00000025157.1)
Source: RNAcentral
AAUAAAGCUAAUAAAAAACCUGACCACUGUUCAUCACAGCAAAUCAGGGUGCUGCUAGGAAACUGCCCCAUGUAAAGAAAUUAUAAGGAAAAUAAACCUGUAAGUGAAACCAUGCUAUAGGUGCACCAGCAAACCAUCCUGACAUUAAAGACAGAUAAGUAGUAAGAGACCAACAUAUCUGCAUCAGUAAUCCUCUAGUGACUUGAAUAUCAAAAAGGAAAUUCUACAGUGAGUAAAAUCAAGGGCAUAUUGUAGAAGCAGUGGCCUGCUUUGGCAAUCCUGACCUUGAUUAACAGCUCUUCUCCCAUGGGAAAGCACAUACCAAAGGGUAAGUCCAGCCAUAAAUACCUGUGCUUUGAUGUACAGCCCAGAAAACUGGGCUGUGAAUGUGUGUGGGAUGAAUGAUAAGAGCCAGAAACAUCAGCUCUACUUUUCCUGUUUUUGUGUGGUGACUUUCUCUCUCCUGCUGGCUGGCUGUCUAAUUGAUGCUAAAACUUGUACACAGAAGAAACAGGACAUUUAGACACAAGAAUAAGGAUUUCAUAAUGCACAAAAACUUUCUCUCAUAAGAAAACCACUGGAGCUCGUGAAUUUUGCUGUGCAAAUGGAUAAAUACUGACAGAAUACAUGUGGCUUGCAUCAGAAGAAGGGCAUGAGUUGAUAGAAGCAUUGUGGAAAAACCCAACCAUGCAAUCCCAGGAAGUACCAGUGGCAGUCAUUAAUUUAUCACCUACAAAAUCAGGAAACCAGAUGGGAAAGCAUUGUUCAGAAGAAGGAAUACAAUGCACUGAAUCUGUGUCGCAGUUUCUGGCAUUUUGGUGGUUUCAUAAAGGAUGUAGGAGGAGGAAGUCUGGGAACAGCUGUCCAGAAAAAUGGAUGUCCCAGCUCCUUCUCCAGCUUCAGCCAGUUUUAUAG